GCGUCAGUAGUGUAGCGGGUAGAGCACGCGCUCCCGCAUAGAGUGACGUGCGGGUUUCAGUCCCGCCUGACGCG
Non-coding RNA from Parelaphostrongylus tenuis, 74 nucleotides. The record is from the annotation of a GenBank genome assembly. Lineage: Eukaryota; Metazoa; Nematoda; Chromadorea; Rhabditida; Metastrongylidae.